AAUUAACGCUGGCGGUAUGCAUAACACAUGCAAGUCGAACGGUUCCGACAGAACAUCGUCGGGAUAGUGGCAAACGGGUGAGUAAUGUAUGAACAACCUCCCUUCCGGAGAGGAAUAACCCCGAGAAAUUCGGGGCUAAUGCCUCGAAGUCUCUAAUCCCACAAGGAGUUAGAGGGAAAGUCCUGAUGUUAAGUCGGGACGCCGGAAGCAGGGUUCAUAUCCUAUCAGCUUGUUGGUGAGGUAACAGCUUACCAAGGCUACGACGGGUAGGGGCGCUGAAAGGCUCGACCCCCACACUGGCACUGCGACACGGGCCAGACUCCUACGGGAGGCAGCAGUGAGGAAUCUUGGGCAAUGGGCGAAAGCCUGACCCAGCAAUACCGCGUGGACGAUGAAGGUCUUCGGAUCGUAAAGUCCUGUUAGGGGGGAAGAACCUCCGAUUCGUCGGGGGAUGACGGUACCCCCAGAGGAAGCCCCGGCCAAUUACGUGCCAGCAGCCGCGGUAAUACGUGAGGGGCAAGCGUUAUUCGGAAUUACUAGGCCUAAAGCGCAUGUAGGGGUCCUGUUAAGUCAGAUGUGAAAUCCUUCGGCUCAACCGGAGAAUGUCAUCUGAAACUGACGGGAUUGAGUAUAGAAGAGGGAAAUGGAAUUCCCGGUGGAGCGGUGAAAUGCGUUGAUAUCGGGAAGAACACCAGUGGCGAAGGCGAUUUCCUGGUCUAAUACUGACCCUGAGAUGCGAAAGCUAGGGGAGCGAACAGGAUUAGAUACCCUGGUAGUCCUAGCCGUAAACGAUGGACACUGGAUGUAUCCCGGUUUUCGGGGUGUGUCGAAGCGAAGGCGUUAAGUGUCCCGCCUGGGGAGACGGUCGCAAGGCU
This 875-nucleotide ribosomal RNA is filed under the name uncultured Acidobacteriota bacterium. RNAcentral's name for it is "bacterial SSU rRNA". It matches the Rfam family "Bacterial small subunit ribosomal RNA", at positions 28 to 895 of the family's 1533-position model. The record is from RNAcentral. Lineage: Bacteria; Pseudomonadati; Acidobacteriota.